Molecule: ribosomal RNA, 460 nt
Filed under: uncultured bacterium
Lineage: Bacteria
Description: partial 16S ribosomal RNA
Rfam family: Bacterial small subunit ribosomal RNA
Source: RNAcentral
CCUACGGGAGGCAGCAGUGAGGAAUAUUGGUCAAUGGCCGGAAGGCUGAACCAGCCAAGUCGCGUGAGGGACGACUGCCCUAUGGGUUGUAAACCUCUUUUAUAAGGGAAGAAUAAAUGCUACGUGUAGCAUGAUGCCUGUACCUUAUGAAUAAGCAUCGGCUAACUCCGUGCCAGCAGCCGCGGUAAUACGGAGGAUGCGAGCGUUAUCCGGAUUUAUUGGGUUUAAAGGGAGCGUAGGCGGGUUGUUAAGUCAGUUGUGAAAGUUUGCGGCUCAACCGUAAAAUUGCAGUUGAUACUGGCAUCCUUGAGUACAGUAGAGGUAGGCGGAAUUCGUGGUGUAGCGGUGAAAUGCUUAGAUAUCACGAAGAACUCCGAUUGCGAAGGCAGCCUGCUGGACUGUAACUGACGCUGAUGCUCGAAAGUGUGGGUAUCAAACAGGAUUAGAUACCCCGGUAGUC